UCAGGACGAACGCUGGCGGCGUGCUUAAUACAUGCAAGUCGAACGGAGCUUAGCUGAUAGUUACUAGAGGCGAAAGCUUAGUGGCGGACGGGUGAGUAACGCGUGGGUAAUCUGCCCCUAAGUCCGGGAUAACAGAGCGAAAGUUCUGCUAAGACGGGAUACUCUUUACCAGUUGCAUAACGGGUAAAGGAAAGGUAACGCUUAGGGGAUGAGCCCGCGUCCCAUUAGCUAGUUGGUGAGGUAACGGCUCACCAAGGCGACGAUGGGUAGCCGGCCUGAGAGGGUGGACGGCCACACUGGGACUGAGACACGGCCCAGACUCCUACGGGAGGCAGCAGUAGGGAAUUUUCCGCAAUGGGCGCCAAGCCUGACGGAGCAACGCCGCGUGAGGGACGAAGGUCUUCGGAUCGUAAACCUUUGUCAUCGAGGACGAUAAUGACGGUACUCGAGGAGGAAGCCCCGGCUAACUACGUGCCAGCCGCCGC
Molecule: ribosomal RNA, 485 nt
Filed under: uncultured bacterium
Lineage: Bacteria
Description: bacterial SSU rRNA
Rfam family: Bacterial small subunit ribosomal RNA
Source: RNAcentral